RNAcentral lists this ribosomal RNA (497 nucleotides) under uncultured bacterium. RNAcentral's name for it is "partial 16S ribosomal RNA". It matches the Rfam family "Bacterial small subunit ribosomal RNA", at positions 28 to 507 of the family's 1533-position model. The record is from RNAcentral.
GAUGAACGCUGGCGGCGUGCCUAAUACAUGCAAGUCAAGCGAACAGACGAGGAGCUUGCUCCUCUGACGUUAGCGGCGGACGGGUGAGUAACACGUGGAUAACCUACCUAUAAGACUGGGAUAACUUCGGGAAACCGGAGCUAAUACCGGAUAAUAUAUUGAACCGCAUGGUUCAAUAGUGAAAGACGGUUUUGCUGUCACUUAUAGAUGGAUCCGCGCCGCAUUAGCUAGUUGGUAAGGUAACAGCUUACCAAGGCAACGAUGCGUAGCCGACCUGAGAGGGGGAUCGGCCACACUGGAACUGAGACACGGUCCAGACUCCUACGGGAGGCAGCAGUAGGGAAUCUUCCGCAAUGGGCGAAAGCCUGACGGAGCAACGCCGCGUGAGUGAUGAAGGUCUUCGGAUCGUAAAACUCUGUUAUUAGGGAAGAACAAAUGUGUAAGUAACUAUGCACGUCUUGACGGUACCUAAUCAGAAAGCCACGGCUAACUACGUG